CCGAACCGCCGACACGAGUUGUUGCUGGCCCUCAAACGGGGGCAAGUGCACGCUCUGUUUGCACAUCCACUCACACCUGUGCACCUUCCCUGUAGUUCUGUGGCCUGAAGGACUCUGUCCUCUUGCUGUAGCUCUGCAUCUUUACACACACACUGUAACAAAGUCUUAUGGAAUGUGAUGCCGCGUUUAACGCAAUACAAUA
This 202-nucleotide unclassified non-coding RNA is filed under the name uncultured fungus. RNAcentral describes it as "sequence contains ITS1, 5.8S rRNA gene". Lineage: Eukaryota; Fungi. The record is from RNAcentral.